RNAcentral lists this transfer RNA (72 nucleotides) under Kamimuria klapaleki. RNAcentral describes it as "tRNA-Val". Lineage: Eukaryota; Metazoa; Arthropoda; Insecta; Plecoptera; Perlidae. The record is from RNAcentral.
CAAGAUGGAGCUUGUUGAGUUAAGCGUUCCAUUUACACUGGAAAAUAAUCUGUGCAAAUCAGUUUAUCUUGA